Molecule: ribosomal RNA, 471 nt
Filed under: Lactococcus lactis
Lineage: Bacteria; Bacillati; Bacillota; Bacilli; Lactobacillales; Streptococcaceae
Description: bacterial SSU rRNA
Rfam family: Bacterial small subunit ribosomal RNA
Source: RNAcentral
GACGAACGCUGGCGGCGUGCCUAAUACAUGCAAGUUGAGCGCUGAAGGUUGGUACUUGUACCAACUGGAUGAGCAGCGAACGGGUGAGUAACGCGUGGGGAAUCUGCCUUUGAGCGGGGGACAACAUUUGGAAACGAAUGCUAAUACCGCAUAAAAACUUUAAACACAAGUUUUAAGUUUGAAAGAUGCAAUUGCAUCACUCAAAGAUGAUCCCGCGUUGUAUUAGCUAGUUGGUGAGGUAAAGGCUCACCAAGGCGAUGAUACAUAGCCGACCUGAGAGGGUGAUCGGCCACAUUGGGACUGAGACACGGCCCAAACUCCUACGGGAGGCAGCAGUAGGGAAUCUUCGGCAAUGGACGAAAGUCUGACCGAGCAACGCCGCGUGAGUGAAGAAGGUUUUCGGAUCGUAAAACUCUGUUGGUAGAGAAGAACGUUGGUGAGAGUGGAAAGCUCAUCAAGUGACGUAACUAC